This 835-nucleotide ribosomal RNA is filed under the name uncultured bacterium. RNAcentral describes it as "bacterial SSU rRNA". It matches the Rfam family "Bacterial small subunit ribosomal RNA", at positions 59 to 861 of the family's 1533-position model. The record is from RNAcentral.
CAGUCGAGCGAGCGGAACCACAGAUUUACUUCGGUAAUGACGUUGGGAAAGCGAGCGGCGGAUGGGUGAGUAACACGUGGGGAACCUGCCCCUAAGUCUGGGAUACCAUUUGGAGACAGGUGCUAAUACCGGAUAAUAAAGCAGAUCGCAUGAUCAGCUUUUGAAAGGCGGCGUAAGCUGUCGCUAAGGGAUGGCCCCGCGGUGCAUUAGCUAGUUGGUAAGGUAACGGCUUACCAAGGCGACGAUGCAUAGCCGAGUUGAGAGACUGAUCGGCCACAUUGGGACUGAGACACGGCCCAAACUCCUACGGGAGGCAGCAGUAGGGAAUCUUCCACAAUGGACGCAAGUCUGAUGGAGCAACGCCGCGUGAGUGAAGAAGGUUUUCGGAUCGUAAAGCUCUGUUGUUGGUGAAGAAGGAUAGAGGUAGUAACUGGCCUUUAUUUGACGGUAAUCAACCAGAAAGUCACGGCUAACUACGUGCCAGCAGCCGCGGUAAUACGUAGGUGGCAAGCGUUGUCCGGAUUUAUUGGGCGUAAAGCGAGCGCAGGCGGAAAAAUAAGUCUAAUGUGAAAGCCCUCGGCUUAACCGAGGAACUGCAUCGGAAACUGUUUUUCUUGAGUGCAGAAGAGGAGAGUGGAACUCCAUGUGUAGCGGUGGAAUGCGUAGAUAUAUGGAAGAACACCAGUGGCGAAGGCGGCUCUCUGGUCUGCAACUGACGCUGAGGCUCGAAAGCAUGGGUAGCGAACAGGAUUAGAUACCCUGGUAGUCCAUGCCGUANACGAUGAGUGCUAAGUGUUGGGAGGUUUCCGCCUCUCGGUGCUGCAGCUAACGCAUU